This 258-nucleotide ribosomal RNA is filed under the name Triticum aestivum (bread wheat). Its description in RNAcentral is "partial small subunit ribosomal RNA". The record is from RNAcentral. Lineage: Eukaryota; Viridiplantae; Streptophyta; Magnoliopsida; Poales; Poaceae.
AUGUCACACCGAGUUAAUCCUAAGGGCCUUUGGGACAAUCUAUUUUAUUACAAGGUUUUGUUCCGAAGCAAAGAUAUCCACGGAGGCCGGUUUGUUCGUCCUAUUCUGAUAUUCAGGACCAAGAUGUACUGGAUUCUCUUUCCGAUAGACCAUGAAAGGAGAAAAGAGGCUCAAAUGCCAACGGACCUCUGUCUAUUCUCUAAUUCACCCAAUCAAAUAGUACUCGUUUUUGGAACGUCUAGUGCCUUGGAUUGUUGA